UCUCUUCUAGCUACUGUCUGGUCUGCCAUCCUCCAAAGAAGGAAGAAAGCUGUUGCCAGAGUGAGAUGCCAAACCUGCCCACAGCAGCAGAAGUGGGGCCAAGUACCAACUUCUCCUCAGACGACAACCUAAUGCAGACCUGCAGAAAAAGCCUCACCAAAACUGACGCCUUCCUGAAAAACCUCUGACUAGUGAAGCAGCCUAUUUCCUGUAUGAUAAACGAAUAGUAUGCUCUAACCAGCCCUAAUGCGCAGGAUAUGGGUGUAACUUUGAGAGGUGUCCCUAGUCAAGGGGAGAUCCUGUCAUGCAACCUACUGUUGUAUAAGAGGUACAG
Non-coding RNA from Meleagris gallopavo (turkey), 334 nucleotides. NCBI's taxonomy places the organism in Eukaryota, Metazoa, Chordata, Aves, Galliformes, Phasianidae. The record is from RefSeq and is a predicted model, not a curated record.